UAGAUGUAAUGGACAACACGAUCUGAAUGUAACAUCUCAACUCCUCAAAAUUUAAACUGUAAUGAACCAAACAAAUUAAUGAUGACUUCUAGUUUUUUCUGGCAAUUGAUUUACAUUUUUUAUUCUUCAUUGUAAAGCUAAGAAAUUCUACUGAAUGAUGGUCUUAUUUCUACAUGAUAUCAUAAGAAAUACAGUUACAUUAAGCUGUAUUUUGAAAAUAUUUAUUGAUUUCAUUAAAAAGUAGGAAGAAAAUAAAAGGCACAAAGGCUAAAGAAGCAAGAAUGGCUAAAAAAGGAAAUAAUUCUUUAGAGUAAGGAAGUUUAAAUAAAGCUCAAUACAGCAAACACCAAUUGAUUAUCUGUCAUUUGCAAUAUAUUGGAAUAUACAAAUAGAAUUCCAGAUUUCAGGAGUUUAUACACUGAUAUUGAAAGAGGAAAUGGGGAAUAAGACAAGUGCAUAAUAAACACUAGGAAAGAGGCACAUAUAAAGUGAUCCUGGGGUUGGAUGAGGAAGAGAUCAUAUACAAAUGGAGAGAUUAAGGAAGGUUUAAUGGAGAAGGUGACGUUUGAGGUAGGCCUAGAAGAACAUUUGUAAUUUAGGCUGGUGGGAAUGGUGUUGCAAGUACUAUUGGCUUUGGGAACAGCAUAAGCAGAGGCAUGGAAGUGGGAAACUGAAAGGAAUUUUGGGGGAAAUGAAUAAUAAUUUCUUAAAAUAACAAUCACUCCUCGUAAGAAUUUAGGUUAAUAAAUAUACCAACCUGCCACAGUAAGUUUUCCAGAUGUCAUAUUUUCUCCCGCGUAAAAUGUGUAUUUUCCUUCAUCAUCUUUCAUCAUAUUUAGAACUGUCAAUUUAUAUAUUUUUCCAUGUGCUUCAAUUUUAUAUUUAGAACUGGGCUUGAUUUCCUUGUCCUUAAAAUUCCACAGGACAUCAAUUCCAGAGUGGGACAGCUCAACCUCAAACACCACAUUUUGAGUUUCUGUACAGGUUGUCUUUUUCCCGUCGAUGACAAAGCUGUAUUCUCCCUGGUCCUCCUUGGUUACAUCCUUGACCGUGAGGUUCUGACGUCCACGACGAGAUGUAAUUGUAUAUUUGCCAUUGGAUUUAAGCUCCACAUCAUUAUGAUACCAUUUUCCUUCUAUAUUUUCUGGGGAUACAAUGCACUCUAAUUCUCCUGAAUAUGAUUCUGGAACUUCUAUGUCCUGAAGUUCUUUCACAAACUCAACAACUGCACCUGAAGUGUAUAACAGAAAGAUAAAUCAAUUUUUUUGGAGAGCCUACGUCCAGGGGACAUUCUUGCAGGGGACAUCCGUGCAGGAGACAUCCUUGCAGGUGACAUCCGUGCAGGAGACAUGCGUAUAGGAGACCUGCUCACUGAACGUGGAGAGAGAGAUCUGCAAAACAAAGACACACAAUACUUUCGUGAGGCAUAAAGAAAACUCAGCAAAACAAACUUCAUUUUGUCUUAUUCAUUAUUCAUGUUAUUUUAGAAUUUACUUCUUGCACGUAUUAGAAGGCACCUCAAACUCAUUCAGAUCUAAAAUAGAAUAUAUUAUUGUUGCCCCCACAACUAUGUUUUUCCUAUAUUCUCAAUUUUAGCUGGUAGUCAUUCAGUAUAUCCAGGUACCCAGGCUCAAAAAUCUUGGAAUAAUCCUCAAUACUCUCUUUUCCUUACCACUUGGAUUUAAUCAGUCACUAGACUUUUUUGAUUUAACUACUAAAACAUCCUAAUAAAUGUUGGUUGGAUAAGUAAACCAAUGAAUACAUUUAUGGAAAAAUAAAAAAUACACAUUCUUUAUCUCAGAGGAGGAAAACAUAGAAAUGAAUUUGGAAACAAAACAAAGCAAAACAAGACUCCAUCUACACAUUGCAGCCAGACUGACUUGGAGUUUGAAUGCUGGCACCACCGCUUACAGGCUGGAUGAAUUAAGACAAUUUUCAUAGAUUCCCAGGGCCUCAGUGUUCCUAUUUCCAAACCAAUAAUAGUCAUCUUUUUAUUGCAGGGCUGUUGUAUAAAUUUACAUAUGUAAAAAUCAGGUGUCAAAUAAGAGCUAUUGUGAUAUUAGCUAUAGCACUAGGAAAAUAAACAGUAUGUUACACUGAUGAAAAUUCUUUGCUCAUCUUACACAGGGGCAAGAAAUAAAAACUUCUGGCAAUUGUUGGUGUUGCCAAUGGUGCAACAUACCAUGAAGAUUAAGGAAACUUAGCAACAGUGAACUUGGACCUUCUAAUAGCUGUCUAACCCCGAGCUCAUCACUUGAAAA
Long non-coding RNA from Homo sapiens (human), 2261 nucleotides. Ensembl annotates it as TTN antisense RNA 1. Its record names the gene TTN-AS1. NCBI's taxonomy places the organism in Eukaryota, Metazoa, Chordata, Mammalia, Primates, Hominidae. The record is from Ensembl.